This 593-nucleotide ribosomal RNA is filed under the name uncultured Bacteroidota bacterium. RNAcentral describes it as "bacterial SSU rRNA". It matches the Rfam family "Bacterial small subunit ribosomal RNA", at positions 123 to 715 of the family's 1533-position model. Lineage: Bacteria; Pseudomonadati; Bacteroidota. The record is from RNAcentral.
AACCUGCCGCUUACUCGGGGAUAGCCUUUCGAAAGAAAGAUUAAUACCCGAUGGUAUAAAGAGUUCGCAUGUUCUCUUUAUUAAAGAAUUUCGGUAAGCGAUGGGGAUGCGUUCCAUUAGAUUGUUGGCGGGGUAACGGCCCACCAAGUCUACGAUGGAUAGGGGUUCUGAGAGGAAGGUCCCCCACAUUGGAACUGAGACACGGUCCAAACUCCUACGGGAGGCAGCAGUGAGGAAUAUUGGUCAAUGGACGCGAGUCUGAACCAGCCAAGUAGCGUGAAGGAUGACUGCCCUAUGGGUUGUAAACUUCUUUUAUAAGGGAAUAAAGUGAGGGACGUGUCCCUUUUUGUAUGUACCUUAUGAAUAAGGAUCGGCUAACUCCGUGCCAGCAGCCGCGGUAAUACGGAGGAUCCAAGCGUUAUCCGGAUUUAUUGGGUUUAAAGGGAGCGUAGGUUGACGUAUAAGUCAGCUGUGAAAGUUUACGGCUCAACCGUGAAAUUGCAGUUGAUACUGUAUGUCUUGAGUGUACAAGAGGUGGGCGGAAUUCGUGGUGUAGCGGUGAAAUGCUUAGAUAUCACGAAGAACUCCGAUUG